AUUGAACGCUGGCGGCAGGCCUAACACAUGCAAGUCGAGCGGAUGAAGGGAGCUUGCUCCUGGAUUCAGCGGCGGACGGGUGAGUAAUGCCUAGGAAUCUGCCUGGUAGUGGGGGAUAACGUCCGGAAACGGGCGCUAAUACCGCAUACGUCCUGAGGGAGAAAGUGGGGGAUCUUCGGACCUCACGCUAUCAGAUGAGCCUAGGUCGGAUUAGCUAGUUGGUGGGGUAAAGGCCUACCAAGGCGACGAUCCGUAACUGGUCUGAGAGGAUGAUCAGUCACACUGGGACUGGAAGGCGGUCCUGGGUCCGACGGGAGGCAGAGAUGGGGAAGGUUGGAAGAUGGGGGGAAGCCUGAACCAGCCGAGCCAGGUGGGUGAAGAAAGGCUUCGGGUUGGAAAACACCUUAAGUUUGGAGGAAGGGCAGUAAGUUAAUACCUUGCUGUUUUGACGGUACCAACAGAAUAAGCACCGGCUAACUUCGUG
This 484-nucleotide ribosomal RNA is filed under the name uncultured bacterium. RNAcentral describes it as "partial 16S ribosomal RNA". It matches the Rfam family "Bacterial small subunit ribosomal RNA", at positions 29 to 507 of the family's 1533-position model. The record is from RNAcentral.